AACGAACGCUGGCGGCAUGCCUAACACAUGCAAGUCGAACGAUGCCUUCGGGCAUAGUGGCGCACGGGUGCGUAACGCGUGGGAAUCUGCCUUUCGGUUCGGAAUAACUCAGGGAAACUUGAGCUAAUACCGGAUAACGUCGCAAGACCAAAGAUUUAUCACCGAAAGAUGAGCCCGCGUAGGAUUAGCUAGUUGGUGAGGUAAAGGCUCACCAAGGCGACGAUCCUUAGCUGGUCUGAGAGGAUGAUCAGCCACACUGGGACUGAGACACGGCCCAGACUCCUACGGGAGGCAGCAGUGGGGAAUAUUGGACAAUGGGCGAAAGCCUGAUCCAGCAAUGCCGCGUGAGUGAUGAAGGCCUUAGGGUUGUAAAGCUCUUUUACCCGGGAAGUUAAUGACGGUACCGGGAGAAUAAGCCCCGGCUAACUCCGUG
RNAcentral lists this ribosomal RNA (433 nucleotides) under uncultured bacterium. Its description in RNAcentral is "partial 16S ribosomal RNA". It matches the Rfam family "Bacterial small subunit ribosomal RNA", at positions 29 to 507 of the family's 1533-position model. The record is from RNAcentral.